RNAcentral lists this ribosomal RNA (510 nucleotides) under uncultured Glomus. Its description in RNAcentral is "SSU rRNA". It matches the Rfam family "Eukaryotic small subunit ribosomal RNA", at positions 569 to 1081 of the family's 1831-position model. Lineage: Eukaryota; Fungi; Glomeromycota; Glomeromycetes; Glomerales; Glomeraceae. The record is from RNAcentral.
AGCAGCCGCGGUAAUUCCAGCUCCAAUAGCGUAUAUUAAAGUUGUUGCAGUUAAAAAGCUCGUAGUUGAAUUUCGGGGUCAGUAGGUUGGUCGUGCCACUGGUAUGCACUGGUCUCACUGAUUCCUCCUUCCUGAUGAACCGUAAUGCCAUUAAUUUGGUGUUGCGGGGAAUCUGGACUGUUACUCUGAAAAAUUAGAGUGUUUAAAGCAGGCUCACGCUUGAAUACAUUAGCAUGGAAUAACGGAAUAGGACGUUUGAUUCUAUUUUGUUGGUUUCUAGGAUCGACGUAAUGAUUAAUAGGGAUAGUUGGGGGCAUUAGUAUUCAAUUGUCAGAGGUGAAAUUCUUGGAUUUAUUGAAGACUAACUACUGCGAAAGCAUUUGCCAAGGAUGUUUUCAUUAAUCAAGAACGAAAGUUAGGGGAUCGAAGACGAUCAGAUACCGUCGUAGUCUUAACCAUAAACUAUGCCGACUAGGGAUCGGAUGAUGUUAAUUUUUAAUGACUUCAUUC